UGGGGAAUAUUGGACAAUGGGCGCAAGCCUGAUCCAGCAAUGCCGCGUGUGUGAAGAAGGCCUGCGGGUUGUAAAGCACUUUCAGUGGGGAGGAAGGCCUCGGCGUUAAUAUCGUCGAGGAUUGACGUUACCUACAGAAGAAGCACCGGCUCACUCUGUGCCAGCAGCCGCGGUAAUACAGAGGGUGCAAGCGUUAAUCGGAAUUACUGGGCGUAAAGGGCGCGUAGGUGGUUAAUUAAGUCAGAUGUGAAAUCCCCGGGCUUAACCUUGGAAAUGCAUUUGAAACUGAUUGGCUAGAGUACGGGAGAGGGAAGUGGAAUUUCCGGUGUGGCGGUGAAAUGCGUAGAUAUCGGAAGGAACACCAGUGGCGAAGGCGACAUCCUGGUCCGUUACUGACACUGAGGCGCGAAGGCGUGG
Molecule: ribosomal RNA, 417 nt
Filed under: uncultured bacterium
Lineage: Bacteria
Description: bacterial SSU rRNA
Rfam family: Bacterial small subunit ribosomal RNA
Source: RNAcentral